AUGGAAAAGAAUGGUUGCUCCUCGUCAUCAAAUGCUUUCCUCAGCAUCCAUUUCUCAAUUCUUCCAAGAUCAGGCCGGAUCUGUAACAUCAGAUAUAGUAAUUGUCUAAAAGUAGAAACUAGGAAGACAUUUUACAACAAUAUGGAAUGGCACACGUGCUUCGAGGCCCCAUGCAGAUGUUGCCUUGUUGGCCCUCAAGCAAUCGUACUGAUGCAGAGCUUUGAUCUACAGUGUAAUCAUUAUGUCAGGGUGUCUGAAUCUGCCAUUUUUCUGAAAAUUUCUUUCCUAUUCACCUUUUGA
RNAcentral lists this ribosomal RNA (300 nucleotides) under Triticum aestivum (bread wheat). RNAcentral's name for it is "partial small subunit ribosomal RNA". The record is from RNAcentral. Lineage: Eukaryota; Viridiplantae; Streptophyta; Magnoliopsida; Poales; Poaceae.